This is a long non-coding RNA of Acanthochromis polyacanthus (spiny chromis), 3627 nucleotides long. RefSeq lists it as uncharacterized. Lineage: Eukaryota; Metazoa; Chordata; Actinopteri; Pomacentridae. The record is from RefSeq and is a predicted model, not a curated record. The transcript has 2 exons.
UGUUGUUUUUAUAGGAUUUGUUAACAAUAAAAAAUAGAGCACUGCCAGAUGUUUCUUCCAAAUAACGAAGCCAAAGCUGUUAUUGAGUUCCCCUAAAUGACCACCGAGUCUGAAUGUCGAAAUUUAAUUUACAAAUUAGAUUUUUGAAAAAUGUUUCUGGUCUAAAAGCAGAGCUAAAACAACACACUCAGAUGUCCAAACUUGUAUCAGCCAAAUCUGAAUUAAUGAGAUCAAAUGGAGGCUUCACAAAACACGGCCUCAACCCCAAUUUCAGCAGAGGAAAAACUGCAUCCAGCUGGAAGUACUUGCUUCCUCAAUGCUUUUUUCACGCUAAAUUUUCCUGCAUCAAGUGCUUUUAAAAUCUACAUCAUGUGGGGAAAAUUGCCAAGAACCUUUAGUCCCCCAUCAGACUGCCCUCGAGAGCCGCUCUCACAAAGCCGGCCGGUCGGAGCAGUAGCUUUAGCUUAGCGGUUGCACCUCUGCAUGAUGUGGAAAGUAAAAAGGCUGUCGUCUGGCCUUAGGAGCACUUCAAAAGGCCCAGAGCAGUGUGAGCUGCAGUACAAGUGACAGACACACACAGGGGGUCAAUGGCUUGUGUGAGUGUGUGUGUGCGCGUGUCUACGUGUGCUUUGUACAUGUGUGCCGCCGCAUAGGUGCACGUGGGUUUGCGUGUGUGUUUAUACGUGUGUCAUGUGUGUGUGCAGAGGGAGGGGAGGCCUAUUAAAAAGCUGCCUGAGGAGAGGGCUUUCAGUUGGGAAUCUAUGGGGGGCAGAGAGGAUGGCAGGGCCAUUGUGUGUCAUAGUUCCAUCCUGAGAGCUGGAAUUAGAGCCUUUCUCCUCUGCUCGGCUGGAAGACUCUGUACCACCACCGACCCCGUGUUUAAUUAGAGCAGCUCUGGAGAGACAGCCGAGAAGGUGGAAGAGGGAGGAACACGAGCAGAAAGAAGAGAGCAACGUCAAGCGAGGAGGCCGGCAUGUCAAAGGACAGGACGGGGAAGUGGCAACAAUGACACAGGAUGAGGUUUGUUUGGUCCGGAGCACUCAGCACUAUCUGAUUCGCCGGAGGGACAACAGGAGGAAGGAAGGGCUGGACAUGAAGCAGCAGCUACGACUCUCACCUGGACAAACCUGAAGCUCUCCUGCUGCGAUUUACAUAUACGUGUGAAGUAGACUUUUCCUGAAUAGAUAACGAUGCUGCACUGAGACUACCACCAGCACAUAUUGUAGAGAGAAGCCCCCUAAUAAUGUGAGCACAAACUGAUAUAAAUCCUGCAGAGAAGAGCUAGUAUCAUCAAUAUUUGCACUUCAUCAAAGACGGAACCAAUGAAAUGCUGGCAGACGGGUAGUAGGGGUGGAUAUUUCUAUUUCUAUAUAUAAAUACACCGGAGCUUGUGAUCUAGUAGUCUGCGUAAGGGAAAAUGAGAAAUGUUUUAUGUCUUACUUCCUGACUAAGUGGAUUCAUUUGUUUGUUACAGCACUUUUAUAAUCAAAUUUCUCCCCUUCAUUAAGAUAAUUACUCAGACAGACUGGGACGCGAGAGCCCGAGACAAGACCAAGUAGUGUAAUUUAAUUAGAAAGACUUUCUUUCAUUCUGCUGAAGCUGCAGCGCACAAGGAAGACUGGACCAGAUAGAUGUGUGUGUUGAAGCUUCAAUAAGGAUUUACAAGGGGCCAAAGAUGAAGACGACCAGUAGAACUCCUCAACUGAGUCAUUAAAGUAUACAGCCAGUGAAGUACUCUAUUUCAUUAUGGCAGGAUUUAUUACUCUGUACUUUCCACUCAAGCAAGAAAUUGCCCCGAAGUACCUGAAGAGCAAAAAUGGAAGGGCGGGACUGGAUUGUGACCAUGCAGUUUUACCUUCACUGGGAUUUAAUUCACAUUCACUGCGAGUGGUGAUGUUCUCCAGCAGGUGGUGGUGCAGGGCAAUCAUAAACACUCACAAGCGCCACAUUGAGGCACACAAAGGAGAAUCAGCCUGAAGCCGAAACCUUUGUGUUCUUGUUUGACUGCCAACAAACUCCGCCCUGCUUCUUCUGGGUUGUUUUUUUUUUUUUAAAGUUUCCAUCCAACUUUUUUUUCCUGUUAUCGUAGAAAACAUGAGACAUUUACUGUGAUUAGACCAUACAGGAGCAGAUAAGCUCUCAGUAGUUAAUCCCACUGUUUGAUUCCUAUCUGGAACUGAAGGUCAAGUGCGGUAUUAGAGUACAGCCACCGACUAGUAUGCCAUUAAAUGAAAACCUUCUGACUCAAUUUUCUCCUUAACAACUGCAAUAAAUCAGCAGAGCGCCACCGCUGAGAGGAGCGUGCCUCUUACCCAGGGCUUGCCAGUUGUUCCAGCUCGGCCAGUUAGUUCAGUAUUGAUUCUCUGUCUCGCUGUUGUACCACUAAAACCAUCUGACCUAUGAAUGCUGAGCUCACAGCGCUGGCCUGAAAGUCCAAAGAGGGAGACACCAUGAGAGGGAAGGCUCUCCAGGAUCCGCAUUUUCACUAAAAACACCCGCCCUGUUAGUCCACCUGCUUCAGCCUCCACGACAACACGCACAUGCAUCGACCUUUAAAAGCUCGUUCUCUUCAUGCUGUGAUAAAUCGAUCAGCCUUUGGGCAGUCUGUAGAGAUUUCGCGGCUUUCUGCCAUUACGUUUAAAUAGCAAGAUGUUAAAACGAAGAUUAAAACGCUUUGGGAAGAGGUCAGAGCUGCAUGUGAGGAGAUUAUUUCAGAGGACCUCAAGUCGGUCUGCGUUUAAAAGAACAAAACUAUCAUAAAAAUGAAGAAAUAUUAAUGGAAAUGAUAAAAACUUGACAGCUCUGUUCAGGAAAAAAACAGAAUGACACAAAUUAAGCCAAACCUUCCACCAGAAAGAAUAUCUUACAAGUAAAGAAGUGUGAGGAAGUUUAGGGACCCUUUAUGAUAGAGGUGUCAAACAUGCAUCCCGGAGGCAAACAUCAGCCCUCCAGAGGGUCCAAUCUGGCCCAUGGGUCGACUUUGUAAAGUGUCACAGAGAAGACAUUAACUGCAGAUUGUAAAUUUGUAAAACUGUAAGUUUAAAAUAAUUUCUAGACCAUGACGAGUUGUUUUGAUCAUAAAACACUGUAUUGCUUAUUGUUCUUUUGUCAUGUUGUGCCUCAUUUUUGUAAUAUUUUGCCUUAAUUUUGUCGUUUUUCUUUGUCUGACUUAUUGUUUUUCUCAUACAUAGUCUCUGGUCUCAUGUUUUUAUCAUUUUGUGUCUUUUCGUCUUGCUUGUGUUUUUGUUGUAUUUUUGUCAUUUUGUUUUGCUUUAUUCACUUUUGUCGUUUGUUUAAUUUUGUCUCAUUUUUGUUGUUGAUUUGUAACUUUUUGUCUAAUAUUUUGGGGGCUUGUUGUUUGUUUGUGUCAUUUGUCUCAUUUUUUUUGUCAUUUUCCGUUUCAUUUUUGCAAUAUUUUGUCUUGUUUUUGUUUUUUUUGUCAGACUUUUGUCAUUCCGAUCAUUAAGUAAAAUACUAUGUUGUUCAGCUCCAGAUACCUGUCACUAAAUGUUUUGUGUCUUUGUAGAUGUAAACUGAGGCAUAAUGUUGUUGAAAUUGAAUUUAUUUUCUUCAGAAAUUUCAAUUUGUUCAUAAUAUUUAAUAAAAAGAUCAUUCAUUAAAUGGGAA